This 497-nucleotide ribosomal RNA is filed under the name uncultured bacterium. Its description in RNAcentral is "partial 16S ribosomal RNA". It matches the Rfam family "Bacterial small subunit ribosomal RNA", at positions 28 to 507 of the family's 1533-position model. The record is from RNAcentral.
GAUGAACGCUGGCGGCGUGCCUAAUACAUGCAAGUCGAGCGAACAGACGAGGAGCUUGCUCCUCUGACGUUAGCGGCGGACGGGUGAGUAACACGUGGAUAACCUACCUAUAAGACUGGGAUAACUUCGGGAAACCGGAGCUAAUACCGGAUAAUAUAUUGAACCGCAUGGUUCAAUAGUGAAAGACGGUUUUGCUGUCACUUAUAGAUGGAUCCGCGCCGCAUUAACUAGUUGGUAAGGUAACGGCUUACCGAGGCAACGAUGCGUAGCCGACCUGAGAGGGUGAUCGGCCACACUGGAACUGAGACACGGUCCAGACUCCUACGGGAGGCAGCAGUAGGGAAUCUUCCGCAAUGGGCGAAAGCCUGACGGAGCAACGCCGCGUGAGUGAUGAAGGUCUUCGGAUCGUAAAACUCUGUUAUUAGGGAAGAACAAAUGUGUAAGUAACUAUGCACGUCUUGACGGUACCUAAUCAGAAAGCCACGGCUAACUACGUG